UGCCAAAGUUUGCAUGUGAUACCUUUUCGGAAAGCCCAAAGAGAGCCCUCCGACGAAAGAAGCAAGACAAUGGUAAGUACCCUUCUUUUUUUUACUCCAAAUUUUGACCUUUAGAUACUUUUCCGGGUCUUUUCGUGAUCCGUGCUAUAUUAAGAAACAAAAUUAUUUGUUCGGACGUUGUUUUCGCAUUUUUUUAAUGUAUCAAGCCUCAUUUAAACUAGAUGGAGUAUCCGUACGUAGCGGGUGGGUCCUGAAAAGUCUUCGUGUUUUUUUCAUCCCUUUUUGUUUUUUUUUUAGUUAAAACGUUUUGACUCCAUAACUUGUAAACAG
This 330-nucleotide ribosomal RNA is filed under the name Arabidopsis thaliana (thale cress). Lineage: Eukaryota; Viridiplantae; Streptophyta; Magnoliopsida; Brassicales; Brassicaceae. The record is from RNAcentral.